Molecule: ribosomal RNA, 866 nt
Filed under: Sporobolomyces ruberrimus
Lineage: Eukaryota; Fungi; Basidiomycota; Microbotryomycetes; Sporidiobolales; Sporidiobolaceae
Description: eukaryotic LSU rRNA
Rfam family: Eukaryotic large subunit ribosomal RNA (bases 539-866)
Source: RNAcentral
UUCGUAGGUGACUGCGGAGGAUCAUUAUUGAAAACAAGGGUGUCCAAUUUAACUUGGAACCCGAACUUCUCAAUUCUAACUUUGUGCAUCUGUAUUAUGGCGAGCAGUCUUCGGAUUGUGAGCCUUCACUUAUAAACACUAGUCUAUGAAUGUAAAAUUUUUAUAACAAAUAAAAACUUUCAACAACGGAUCUCUUGGCUCUCGCAUCGAUGAAGAACGCAGCGAAAUGCGAUACGUAAUGUGAAUUGCAGAAUUCAGUGAAUCAUCGAAUCUUUGAACGCAUCUUGCGCUCUCUGGUAUUCCGGAGAGCAUGUCUGUUUGAGUGUCAUGAAUUCUUCAACCCAAUCUUUUCUUGUAAUCGAUUGGUGUUUGGAUUUUGAGCGCUGCUGGCUUCGGCCUAGCUCGUUCGUAAUACAUUAGCAUCCCUAAUACAAGUUUGGAUUGACUUGGCGUAAUAGACUAUUCGCUAAGGAUUCGGUGGAAACAUCGAGCCAACUUCAUUAAGGAAGCUCCUAAUUUAAAAGUCUACCUUUUGAUUAGAUCUCAAAUCAGGCAGGAUUACCCGCUGAACUUAAGCAUAUCAAUAAGCGGAGGAAAAGAAACUAACAAGGAUUCCCCUAGUAGCGGCGAGCGAAGCGGGAAAAGCUCAAAUUUGUAAUCUGGCGUCUUCGACGUCCGAGUUGUAAUCUCGAGAAGUGUUUUCCGUGAUAGACCGCAUACAAGUCUCUUGGAACAGAGCGUCAUAGUGGUGAGAACCCAGUACACGAUGCGGAUGCCUAUUACUUUGUGAUACACUUUCGAAGAGUCGAGUUGUUUGGGAAUGCAGCUCAAAUUGGGUGGUAAAUUCCAUCUAAAGCUAAAUAUUG